Molecule: long non-coding RNA, 713 nt
Filed under: Pan troglodytes (chimpanzee)
Lineage: Eukaryota; Metazoa; Chordata; Mammalia; Primates; Hominidae
Description: lincRNA
Source: RNAcentral
CUGCUGUGGAACUUGUCUCUGUCUCUUUUUCUGAUUUUGUCCCUCAGUCGAAUUAUUUCUUCUGAGGAGGCAACGACGGAAGUUGCUACAGACCCCUAAGGACAGGCCAUCAGUAACACUGGGUAAAUCAGAUCUCUUCCACGGGUCUAUCAAUGAGAAGAAAGUGCCAACUGAAAACUUUUAGAAAAUACCCAGUUUACUCAAGGAAAAUAGCAUGCAUUGAAGAUGAUUGCUCAAUAGAGAGAAGUUGAAACAGCAGACUAAUUGCCUGUUUGUGACACCCAUGUAAUCAACUUGCCAUUUGUACUCAUCAGUUCAGGCUGUGUUUUCCCACUGAGACAUCAUUUACAGUGCUCUAAACAUAUUUUCACAACAUUCACCUGACAACAUCAGCUGAGAGAAAAAUUUUCAGACUGCUGAGAAACAUCAGGAGGCCAUGAAUUCUUAAUCAACACACCAAAUUAUGAAAAUGGCCUAUAGGUUGAGGUUGAUCUGAAAGAUAGGACUAUUUGUGAUCCAGAAUCAAAAGAGUCAAGAAAAGUCUGAGAAUUUCAUCCUUGGAGCAGAAAGUGAAAGUGUUCUGGAGCCAAAAGUAGUAACAAAGAUGGAGGGCAAGAGAUCAUUGGAUUAAAUCAUAUUGGCAGACCAAAUUUCAGAAGAAUCAACACACCAGAGACAAGAAGAACUUGAAGUUAAAGCAAAGUUCCCUUAUA